UGGAAGUCCAAGGAUCUAG
This 19-nucleotide non-coding RNA is filed under the name Mus musculus (house mouse). Lineage: Eukaryota; Metazoa; Chordata; Mammalia; Rodentia; Muridae. The record is from RNAcentral.